This 644-nucleotide long non-coding RNA is filed under the name Homo sapiens (human). RNAcentral's name for it is "HSALNT0237562". The record is from RNAcentral. Lineage: Eukaryota; Metazoa; Chordata; Mammalia; Primates; Hominidae.
CUUGACUAGUCAUUCUCAUUAUCCAGGGAGAUUAGUUUGCACUCCCAGGCUAUGGACUAAUAAUAAUGUCUUCCAUUUGGAGAAGGCUUUAAAUAUUCAGGCUAUGCAACCACACCCUUCUGAAUUUCUGUAACAAGCUGCCCAUGUGCCAGUCUGUAACUGCAGCAGUGUGCAGUAAGCUGUAGCAGUGUUCUUCAAAUUUGUCUGCUUAUAAGACUCACCUUGUACAUGUAUUAAAAACAUGCAUUUCCCAAUGCUCAUCCGGACGUACUGAAUAAAAAUCUGCCAGGGUAGUUAAAUAGACUCAGGUUCUAUUCCCAGAUCUGCCACUAAUCAUGACCUGGGAUGCUGACACUUGGAACCCAGCUACCACGCUGUGAGGAAGCCCUAGCAGCCUGAGGACGUGAAGAGACACCAUCCUGCAGUCUUGGCUGAGCACCAAUUUGCCAGCUAUGAGAGUGGGCCAUCUUCACAGUGGAUCAUCUGACCCCCAGUCAAGCUGCUCCAGCUUAUGCUGCAUGUAGACUGGACUAGCAGUCUUCACAUAGUCCUUCCCAAAUUGCAGUGUCGUGAGCAAAAUAAAUAAUUGUUGUCUUAGCCUGAAGAUCUGCGAUGGUUUGCUACUCAGCAAUACAAAACUGAUG